Nothobranchius furzeri (turquoise killifish) is the source of this 1076-nucleotide non-coding RNA. The record is from RefSeq and is a predicted model, not a curated record. NCBI's taxonomy places the organism in Eukaryota, Metazoa, Chordata, Actinopteri, Cyprinodontiformes, Nothobranchiidae.
AGGUCUGAGUCUGCAGGUGGGCGUGUCUGGAGAGCAGGAGCAACAGCCAGCUGCAGCUCAUCUCCAAUCAUCCUCCAGGGUGUAUUUAAGGAGCUGACUUCCUCAACACUCUUGCCGGAUGAUUGCUCAACCUGGGAACCAUCUCCUCCAGCCAUCUCCAAGAACUUCUCAUCAGCUCCACUUCAUUCAGCUCCAACCCCUGGCUGUACGCUCUCCACUACGCCCUUUCCGCCUACCCUUUCAAGCUCACCACACGGGAACUCUGGACCUCGUCUUCAUCAAGACCCCUUUGUAACCCAUCUUCAUAGACCAACUAGUGCUCCUUCGCAUGCCCUCUAGCCACCUCCUGACAAACAUCCUGGCACAUCCUGCAUCAGUUUGAGCAGUGCUUUGAGUUCUCCAUUCUACAAAUAAAUUAUUUUCUUACCUCUCCGUUCCCGUCUCUGAUUCUGCAUGUCGUGGGUCAAAAUACCACAGAACAUGACGGGUUACACCUUUCUUUUAGAGACUAUAUACCCAUGAGUAUUUUGUCCACACUUAGCUGGCUGGGUGGUUCAGAUUUUGGAGACAGAAACAUUUAACUUUUAUUUUGAUUUUCUUCAAGUAACAGAAACCAAUCUUUAAUCAAGACAGAAGUGGGAAUCUGUUGCUCCAUAAAACCCUCAAAGAACUUUGAUAAAUCUUGAAGUAGAUCAAUUUCUACUUAAUAUUUAAAAACAGCAUUGUCUUCACAAAGUGGGUCAGAGUAGUUCUCAUGUUAGCUGGCGUCCCAGAGCCAGUUCCUCUAGUCUGUGUGUGCUUUCAGUUUUAAACAAUCCAAUGACACGAAUCUGGCCAGAUCUGAGUUUGGCUGCUGUGACUCUUGAUAUAUUUACAUGCCAGCCAGUUGUCUCUCACUUUCCUGUUACAGCAACUUAUUUUCUUUAUAAGGUGCACAAGCUUGUAGAAAGCCAUCCUGCUCAGGAAACAAACCAAUGUUAAAAUGAGAUGCUGAUUUAUUUCAACCUCUAAGACAGGAGCAUCUUGAGGCCAUUUAUGAACAUAACAUAACAUGACUUGAUAUGACAUAAAUAACA